AGUUAAAACAAGGUCAGUCAGAGAAACUGUAAGAAAACACUGUUGGCCAGACUGUCCUUUCUGCUGGAAUAGCCUCCAUUGGAAGUACUACUACUAGUACUACUUAAAAAACCCCAAACCAACAAACCCAAUGCUUCAGAGUACACUCAUUGAGGAGUUUGAUAAAGUUUUCUGAAGAAAUCGAAGAGUUCAAAGCUGACUGGCCAACAGUGCACUCCAGCCAGGAAUAACAGAAUAGGACUCUGGCUCUUUUGUUGUUGUUGUUGUUGUUUGGAAGCAGGGCCAUGAUGAAGAGCCACAGCUGGGGCAUUCAUAUUAUGCCACUUGAACUGGAAUUCUUGGAACAGUGCAAGAUGAACUAAAGCAAAAGCAUUUUCCAAUAAUGUUUUCUUUAAUCAAGAACAAAAGGUGGAGGCUUGUGGCCAACUCACUAUCUGGUGGCGUUUCUCCCAUCACCUGCCAGGCAGCUCGCAGGACACCCAGGUCUCUGAGUUCU
RNAcentral lists this non-coding RNA (496 nucleotides) under Egretta garzetta (little egret). RNAcentral's name for it is "Eukaryotic small subunit ribosomal RNA". It matches the Rfam family "Eukaryotic small subunit ribosomal RNA", at positions 632 to 1115 of the family's 1831-position model. The record is from Rfam by way of RNAcentral. Lineage: Eukaryota; Metazoa; Chordata; Aves; Pelecaniformes; Ardeidae.